This 66-nucleotide transfer RNA is filed under the name Morellia hortorum. RNAcentral's name for it is "tRNA-Tyr". It matches the Rfam family "tRNA". Rfam says of the family: Transfer RNA (tRNA) molecules are approximately 80 nucleotides in length. Their secondary structure includes four short double-helical elements and three loops (D, anti-codon, and T loops). The record is from RNAcentral. Lineage: Eukaryota; Metazoa; Arthropoda; Insecta; Diptera; Muscidae.
GAUUAAAUGGCUGAAGUUUAGGCAAUAGAUUGUAAAUUUAUUUAUGAGAAUCUUUCUCUUUAAUCA